GGAGGGGUGCCGGAGCCUGGCUGAACGGGGCCGACUCGAAAUCGGCUUGGCGGUUAGCCCCGCCACGGGGGUUCGAAUCCCUCCCCCUCCGCCA
Molecule: transfer RNA, 94 nt
Filed under: Deltaproteobacteria bacterium
Lineage: Bacteria; Pseudomonadati; Myxococcota; Myxococcia
Description: tRNA-Ser
Rfam family: tRNA
About the family: Transfer RNA (tRNA) molecules are approximately 80 nucleotides in length. Their secondary structure includes four short double-helical elements and three loops (D, anti-codon, and T loops).
Source: RNAcentral